UGGUGUCUUCUGAGAGCCCUAGAAGACAGAUCCCCAGGACACAGUCCUGACUCCUGCCUUUGCCCCACCCCCCACCCCCCACCGCCAGUUAGUAAAAUAUGUGCCUGCGAUGAGCAAAUCCUUCAGAGAGGAACUGUCUAUUUCAAGCGAUUUUUGUCUCUGCAAAGGAGCCCAGAUUCUAGAAACUUUUGUGAGUUCCAGGAGAAAAGGGACGAUGAAUUAGAGGCACCAGCAAGGAAGGUCACUUGCAAGUUACCAAGACAAGAUCCUGAAGAGUGGCAUCUGACCCAGAGAGUUGGAGUACUGCUAACCAGACUCUCUCAGCACCCUGUGUAAGUCAGGAUACUCAUUAUAAAAAAGACGAGGCCAAGCACAUAAGCAGAACACGAGGGCCCCCUAUCCUGGGUCCUUCGCCCCCUCCAUCAAAUGUCAGGAAAGCUUAAUUGGUCAUUAGGAGGCUGACUAAAACUUUCAGCAGAAGGAAAAUAGCCUUGUGGACUAUUUAAUAUGGGUUACAGUGAGAACUAGUUACACCCCCUUGCUCCCUAGCAGGAAUGGAGACCCUACUGACCAGAUACUCCGGCCCCUAAAUUCAGUGUCUCUCUAUUGUAUAUUGUCAUCAACAGUGAAAAUACCUGCUUCUCUUUUUACCCAUUUUUCUAAGCUCACAAGACUUAGUUUUUCCCUUCUGUGACUCAUUAAUUUUAUCCUUUUAUUCAAGAAAUAUUUGUUGAACAUGAUUUACCAUGUGCCAAGUUCUAGGAAUGUAAAAGUGAACAAUACCCUGGAUACUUCCACACCACUGGCUUUACCACAAACAAGUUUCGAUAAAAAUCUAAAAACCCUUCUUUCUUUUUAAGGUGACUUUGGUAUAUUUAAUCUGAUCCAUUUAGGCCUUAAUACCAGAAUUCUGUGUAGCACUAUUACCUGACUUUCCUGAAUAGCUUAUUGCUUCAGCAGUAUCUUAACUUCCCAGAAGGCCUAGAAUAACUGAGUAUUUCUCACAUAUCCCUUAUAGUGUGUAGGGUAUGCCGUGCACACAGCAGGAAUGAAAUAUUUGCCUCUUUAAAGAGAUACCAUGUUUCCUACUAGCCAUAAGGGAAGAAGGGAGGCAGUUUUACUUAGUUUUACUUCAGAAAUUCCCCAACCAAUGGACCACAU
This 1161-nucleotide long non-coding RNA is filed under the name Sus scrofa (pig). RNAcentral's name for it is "lncRNA (ENSSSCG00070002377.1)". Lineage: Eukaryota; Metazoa; Chordata; Mammalia; Artiodactyla; Suidae. The record is from RNAcentral.